UCCAGAGGAAAUAUUGGACCUGCGCUUAUGGAGCCGGAGAGGUUGAAUAAUAAUAUUGGUGGUGGAGGAGAAGAAGAAGGCAUGUCAUCUGAAUCUGCUACCUCCACCACCUGCAACAGUGCUCCCAGUCUCUCUCUUGAAGAUGACUCCGACGACGUCACUUUAUCUCUCAAACUGGGGUGAGCUAGCUACUUUUGCUUUGCUAUAUUUUGAUAAUUAUAUGUUUUAUAUAUAUAUAUACACACACACAUAUAUGUUCAUCAAAAUUUUACAUUUUUAUUUUUAUUUUUGUUAUUGAAAAUAAUAGAUGGCUUAUUAGAAUUAUCGUGAGCAUUAUUGCGUAUUAUGGUGGUUCAAAUAAAAUUAAAAUUAAAAUUAAAAUUAAGUUGCCCGCAUUGUUCUAUCGAAAAUACAGAAACUUUCGGUUGCAGGAUUUCAACACAAAAGGGGCUAUUGAAAACAUACAGGGAGGAAAUGUAUUCCACUCUCUCUAGACUAAAACAACAUAACCUGCAUAAAGUCAUAUACAAGUUAAAAUAUCUUCACCAACAAAUGUUGAUGUUGAUGGGCAGUUGCAUUCAUGGUAUUUCAAUUACUCUUCACCUUUUUAAUAAAUUUGCUUAUCACUUUUUAUUUUCUCUGAAUUUCAGGCUUCCAUAAUUUCUCUGGUUAAAAAGUGGAGGGUUGUGAUUGUGUGUAAGAUAAAUAAAGAAAAUCGAGAUAUUGUAAGAUAUCAGUGAUUGUGUGUGUCUUAACUCGAUACAAGAUUGAAAAAUAUUGAGGGGAAAGUAACUUGUGUUGUAUCUAAACCUAUGUAUUUUAUGCAACCUGACAUAUUGCUCUUUGACUUGUAUUGUCUUUAGAACUCUGUAUCAAUGCAGCCUGCUUUGGAGACUCUUGUGGACUUUGUAUUUGCUUGGGUUAUCAAUGUAAAUUGGAGCAUGUCUCAUAGAGCUUAUAUAUGAAAUAAUUGUCCAAUUUAAUGAGUUCAAUUUUGUUUUUUAUUUAGCCCAGAAUGUGGGGAAAAAGACAACUCAUUGACUACAAAAAAGAAAUGAUGUAGAACAGAUGACGGAAACAAUCGAAAAUGAGUUGAAGAGACUCACGCGCAAGGAUAAAUCGAACAAACUGCAUAUUUGGGCUCCGAAUUCAAAAUCAGGCCCAUGAUUCGUUGAUUCGAAUAGAACGACGUCAUGAGUAAAGCUUAUUUCUUAGCCAUGUUGUAUGGGCUUUUUCGGGCACCCGAGAUUGUUUAGAAAUUCGAAAUCUAGUUUUAAAGUUUUUACAAUUUUUAGAAACUUUUUUAUUUUUUUAUUUUAAUUCCUUGAUUAAUCCUAAGGUUUCUAGGAGUAUUUAAACAAAUUUUACCUGUGACUAGAGUUAUGUUUUAUUAUUUCAAUUAUCAAAUAAAUCUUGAAAUUUCCUAUAAGGUUGUAUAUGCUUGGCCCAUUGGCCCUUUGAGUAGGGCCUGGGCUUAGUUUAUUGAAGAUAGGGCUGACCCGAUUCUGUCAACUUUAUUUGCGCAUGAAAAAAACACCCAUAUAUAAUCGCAUUGUCUGCGUGGAUUAAAUUCAUACAAAAAAGAGGAGUGGGCUGGAGGAGCAAAGACAAAGCCAAGUGUUGCGACUCGAAUGGUGCAUAACCCGAGCAAAGUAAGCUGACAAGACAGCGCAGGACCUGUUUCAAAGGCCAUCCUCCUCCACAUAAAAAUGAAAUUCCCUUCUUUUUUUCUUUCGCAGCCUGACAAGUACUAAGAAUUAAACCCACUCCAAUAAAAACCAAAAAAAAAAAAAGAAUUAAACCCACUCCAACAGAACCAUUCACAAAAGUAAGUAAGAUGCCACAUUUUCUACUGUCACGAUACAAAAUCAACGGUGGAGAUCGCAUUUAUCAACUUCAAGUGCAUCUGUCACCGUCGAAUUGCUCAGGUUUCGUACCUAGUUUUCCCAAAAGAUACCGGAAGUAUGAAAAAAAACAGAGAAUAAUAGAAAAAGGUAUGUAAUUGUUUGUCCUUAAAAGGGAAAAAUUCAGUUUGAAAUUCAUUUUAAUCCCUUCCUUCGUUAAACAGUCAGCCAGCAGGAGAAGCAGCCAUUUCUCUCUCCCAUUCUCUUAGUUUUUCUGAGAACACCAAAACUUCAGACCCUGAAACCCCCCAAAAAGGUAAACAUUAAACAAAGAGAGGAAAACCCAGAAUUUUAAUUAGUUAAUUAAUGGUUUUUCCUCUUUUUCCUCCUCCUCUUCUUCUUCUUCUUCUUCUUCUUCUUCUUCUUUGUGCUUUGGUACUCUAGGCAUGUUGCUGUGAACUUGUGACCUAUUUUGGUUGGUGGGUUUUUCUGGGUUUUUUUUUUUUCACUUAGAUCUGGGGGCCAUUAAAUGUUUAAAAUUUACAAGAAACCCAGGAAAUGUUGUGUAGUUUUUUAGUGUAUGAACAUAAUAAUGUGAAAAGUGGUUGGUUUGAAUUUUUUUGAAGGGGGGAUGGUGAAGACGAUGAGGAAGAAGAUCAAGAUCAAGAAGAUUGACUACUUGCCUGCAAGGCAGGUGACCUUCUCAAAGAGGAGGAGAGGGAUCUUCAAGAAAGCUGAGGAGCUAUCUGUUCUGUGUGAAUCUGAGGUGGCAGUAGUCAUCUUUUCUGCUACUGGCAAGCUUUUUGAUUAUUCAAGCUCAAGGUACCAGCAACAUACGUUAUAAUUCUUUUGACUUUUCCUUCCUUGAAAAAAUAACCAAUAUGACUUGUCUUCUCUCUGUAUGGGUGAGAGAGGGAGAGAGAGAUUCUAAGAUUCAGUCAUUUGGGUCAAAAUAUAUUUGGAGGAGAAGGGUGCCUUUAUGGAAAUAUUUUUUCUUUCCUGAAAUUCCAUGGUUUGAUAUGAACUCUGGUCUAGAAUGCAAAGAAAGAAAAAAAGGAGAAUCCAAAAGCUUCUAAAAAGGAGAGAGAGAGAGAGAGAGAGAGCGGUAGAUAUUGUUGUACUCUUUGCAAAGGAACUAGUUCAACGUUUACUACAUUAUCUAUGUACUUCAGGAAAGUGAAGUCUACUUUUAAUUAAGACAACGUCUAGGUGGGUGUCCCAAUUUGAGAAAUAUUAUUUUAUUAGGUGUCCCAGUUUGAGAAAUAGUAUUUUAUUAGGAAAUGGAUAAAAUUAAUGGUUUCCUGGUGGGAAACACGGUAUGUUAGACCAUCAAUCAAAUCAUGCACUCAAACAAGAAUGUAGAUAGUCAAUUCUAUCUGCGUAAUCUGACAACAUAAAAUGAAAGAUAGUGAAGAGAGUAUUAUAUGAUUCGAGUAUUAUAUGAUUUGUAGUUUUCUUACUAGGGAUAAAGUGAUGUGAUGAUGACUUUGGGAAUUCAUCAUAGAAGCCUUGAAGACUUUCAGCAGGAAUAUGAUUCCAUGCUCUCAAGUAGUUCUCCCCAAGUAGGGCAAUGGGUGGUGGAGCCAUGAUCAUAACAUGUUUUUGCCAUGAAUGCAUGCAUGAGAGGAAGGAAAAAGAGGGAGGAGGGUGAGAAUGAAAUGUUAACUAUGGAAUAAGAAUUUAAAUAUGGUCACGCUUCCUUUCAGUUAACGAAAUAUAAUUGCACAUAUUCAGCACUGAUCAUUUGUAUUAAAAAAUGUUUUUUAAAAAAAAAAAAAAAAACUAGAAAUAUCACCUCACUAAGGUGGUCUUCUUUAACACAAAAUACACUGCAUAAAAAGGUACUCUCUAUAUGUCGAUGGUUUUUUAAGUUUUCUAUGGUGUGGUUAUGAAUUCCGUUAUUUAGAUGUUUUUAUUUUGAUUUCUUUUGUUAGGAUGAGAGAGUGGGAGUAUUAUAUUGGGUUGCCUCAAGAUUGUCUCCUACGUCACCAUUAGACAUGCGUCUAAUGAAGGAAAGAGAUUAAAAGGAGGCACACAUAUCUCGAACUACAAUUUGAAAAUGCAAAUGCAAAUUAAGAAGAAAAUUAUUAAAAGACAAGGGAAGCAAAACUAUAAGUGGCAAACACAUACUAAUGGCCUGUUUUGAUAAUAAAAAAUGAUUUGAUACAAAUGGAGGUCUCAGUUAAAAAUUACAAAAUGGAAGAGACCAGGGCGAAAUUACCUACAAGGAUAUCCUGGGCUGUAGUCCAGCCUAGGUAGCUUUUUAAAGAUAUUUUUUUUAAACCUGUUGUAGUCCAUGUUUAAAGAAAAACAAAAGUAAACCUAUAUAGCCCAUCCACUUGUCGUUCCCACUUGUGGUUGGGGUCCUCAUUUUGUUGUCUUUUUGACAAUUUUCCCACUAUUUCUAUGAAUAUGGAAAUAUUGUUUUUUCAAAGUCUGUUUUGUGGUCUUCUUGAUAAUUUUCCCAUUGUUAUCAUGUUAACCCUUUUGUUGCAUUUAAUUUGUGACCCCUAUUGGUAGUAUAAUUGGAUCAGGUCGGAGCAUUGGCCUCAAGUACAUAUCCAAGAGUAUCUUAAUUGGUUAGAGUCUACCAUUUACUCCCUCAUGCAAGGUUUUGGGUUCGAGUCCUAGCAUUCGUGUAGUGUGUGUGAGUUUCGUAUGCUAUCGCCCCUCUCAAUAGGAAAAGUUCUCAAAAAAAAAAAAGUUUUAUUCAUAUUUUUAUUUUUGAAACUCUAAGGGCUUGGUUAGCAAGGCCAUGAUAACACAACAUAUAGCAUAUGUUGUCUAUUCUUAAUCAUAGCAAAUUGUAUAUACUAACAUUCUUAAGAACCUUAGCCACUUCCACUAACAAGAUUCAAAGCAUAUUGCAAUGAGGCCCACUUCUUAUUAUUUGACUUGAUAUGGUCUCAGGUCGGUUUGCCUUGUGUUCUAAAAUAUUUCAGCUGCUUGGUCUUAUAUAUAAUAAUUCUAUAAAAUAGAUAUUAAGGAAUUCAAUCAAAAGCAAGAUGUCGUGCCAUGCUUUAUGGCUUAGCGCUGAAGUUUUGUCAGUGAGAGAAGGUAGAGAAUUUUAGUAAUUUUAUUGAAAUACUCCUUAAAAUUGGUCUCUUCUUGAAAUAGUGAUUUUAUUUUAAUAGAAACGAUAGUCUAAAUUAGUCUAAAUUAAUCUAAUUUAUGGGGAGGGGGGUUCGAACUUGGGUGCAAGGUGGGUGGGCUCAGCUCACUGUCCUGGCCAACCAUCCUAACCAACGUCAGCUGAAAUAGUGUUUUUUUUAAAAAGGAAGCAUAACAUACAAUAGUCUAUACAAAAGAAAAUAAACAUUUGUGUUGGCAAACCAUAAAACAUGUAUGCUUCGUCACAUGUGUCAAUUUGAUCUUCUAUGUCUACUAACUUAAACUUGUGAAAAUGCCAAUUGGUUGUUUAUUCCUUUUGUGUUGUGAAGUACAAAGGAUGUUGUUGAAAGGUAUCAAGCGCACACAAAUGGUGUCGAAAAAUCGGACGAACCGUCUGUUGAGCUGCAGGUAAAUGAGUUCAAUGGUUUACCUUUUCCAUUUCCCCCCUUUAAUUUUUCUGCAAUUAAUUGUAACAUAUUCUGUGAAAUGCACUUUGGAGCUUCAAAAUGUGGCUCUAUAUCAUCUGAGGUUCUGAUUGUAAAACCUUUUGGUUUGAAAAAGUGAAAAAGGGAAAUUUAACAAGUAUGUCCUACGUCACAUCACAUGUUGUGCGUCUCUCUCAGUGUUGCUGAGAUCCAAACCUUGAAACUUGUUUAAUCUCUCCACAAAGGGUGCCCCAAACCUCUAGGCGGUGACAAACUCUCACUUUGUUGGUUGCAUUUGAGGCUUAUGUUCUUGUAUGUUUAAGUAAUUAAUUUGAUUCCAUUUUCAAAAAUAAAAAAAUAAAAAAAUAAAUUGUAAUCCACUUUUUAUAAGCUUUUCAUGUGAUAGACAGAUUAGAUUACCUAAAUGAUGGUUCCAUUUCUCAUUUUAGCUAGAAAUUGAAAACCACAUCAGAUUGACCAAGGAACUGGAGGAGAAGAGCCGCCAGCUGAGGUAAUAAUUUGUAAGGUAUAUGUGGCUGUUUAGCUGGUAUUAUAUCGUUUGAUGUAUCUGCUGAAAUUGGAGUGGCUUGCAACAGGCAGAUAAAAGGGGAGGAUCUUGAAGAGCUGAAUUUUGAUGAGUUGCAGAAGUUAGAACAACUGGUGGACGCAAGCCUUGGCCGUGUGAUUGAAACUGAGGUCUGCGCUAGCUAAUUUCUUUUCUAGUAAGCAUGGUGCGAAGGCAUUAAUUACUCUGUAUUGUGGUUUAAUGAUCGAUCGAAUCCGUUGGAGAAAGUUAGUUAAUUGGUUUAAGACAUUGAAUUUGUGUUCCAAUAAAUAAACAACACAAGGUCCUAAACAAACACUGAAAUCAUUACCAUUUAAUGAAAUGGUCAAAUAUAGUCUCUGAUAUUGUUUUUUUUUCUUCUUUCUCUCGAUGAUUCCUGAAUGAAAACCUAAAUAAUGAAGCGUUGGAACAAUAUAAAGUAUGUCCCACAAUUGUCCUUUGUGCAAACAGGGUAUAUAAUUGUUCUUUUUAUUGAAAAGCAUAGGUGUAUUCUGGGUUGUCACUGAGGUUUUGAGUUGCUAUUUUAGCAGCUGGUUUAUUCUCUGAAAACUAUAGGUGCAUGCAGUUUGGGUUACAUAUAUGCAAAUAAGCUAUAAGAUGUAAAUGCAAAUAUUCCAUUCCUUUUCAGGAAGAACUGAUUAUGAGUGAGAUUAUGGCACUUGAAAGAAAGGUUAGACGAUUGAUAUACAUACUCUGUAAAUGAAAACAAAUUUCAACUAUUUACAAUAAUCAGGACUUUAACAUCAAUAAUCAUAACCAAGUUUGGCUCUUGUUUUCUCUUCCAUUCACUGACAUUAAUUUCAGGGAGCUGAGCUGGUAGAAGCCAACAACCAGCUACGGCAGAGGGUAAGCAACUGCCACAAUCAUGUACAUGUUUCUUCUUUCUUCUUUCUUUUCUUUUUAUUUUGUAUUUUUUGCAUAGCAGAUGGUGAUGUUAUCCAGAGGAAAUAUUGGACCUGCGCCUACGGAGCCGGAGAGGUUCGUUAAUAAUAUUGGAGGUGGAGGAGAAGAAGGCAUGUCAUCUGAAUCUGCCACAAAUGCAACCAUCAGCAGCUGCAGCAGUGGUCCCAGUCUCUCUCUUGAAGAUGACUGCUCCGACGUCACUUUAGCUCUCAAACUGGGGUGAGCUAGCUACUUUUG
RNAcentral lists this long non-coding RNA (7085 nucleotides) under Prunus persica (peach). RNAcentral describes it as "long non-coding RNA (PPER_LNC001589)". The record is from RNAcentral. Lineage: Eukaryota; Viridiplantae; Streptophyta; Magnoliopsida; Rosales; Rosaceae.